This 589-nucleotide ribosomal RNA is filed under the name uncultured bacterium. Its description in RNAcentral is "partial 16S ribosomal RNA". It matches the Rfam family "Bacterial small subunit ribosomal RNA", at positions 355 to 1376 of the family's 1533-position model. The record is from RNAcentral.
UGGGGAAUAUUGGACAAUGGGCGCAAGCCUGAAUCCAGCAAUGCCGCGUGUGUGAAGAAGGCCUUCGGGUUGUAAAGCACUUUUAUCAGGAGCGAAACGCUGUCGGCUAAUACCCGGCGGAACUGACGGUACCUGAGGAAUAAGCACCGGCUAACUUCGUGCCAGCAGCCGCGGUAAUACGAAGGGUGCAAGCGUUAAUCGGAAUUACUGGGCGUAAAGCGUGCGUAGGCGGUUUCUUAAGUCUGCUGUGAAAUCCCCGGGCUCAACCUGGGAAUGCAGUGGAUACUGGGAGGCUAGAGUGUGUCAGAGGGUGGUGGAAUUCCCGGUGUAGCGGUGAAAUGCGUAGAGAUCGGGAGGAACAUCAGUGGCGAAGGCGGCCACCUGGGACAACACUGACGCUGAGGCACGAAAGCGUGGGGAGCAAACAGGAUUAGGAUACCCUGGUAGUCCACGCCCUAAACGAUGCGAACUGGAUGUUGGUCUCAACUCGGAGAUCAGUGUCGAAGCUAACGCGUUAAGUUCGCCGCCUGGGGAGUACGGUCGCAAGACUGAAACUCAAAUGAAUUGACGGGGUCAUAGCUGUUUCCUG